RNAcentral lists this ribosomal RNA (1406 nucleotides) under metagenome. Its description in RNAcentral is "bacterial SSU rRNA". It matches the Rfam family "Bacterial small subunit ribosomal RNA". The record is from RNAcentral.
GUUUGAUUCUGGCUCAGAACGAACGCUGGCGGCAGGCUUAACACAUGCAAGUCGAACGAUAUAGUGGCAGACGGGUGAGUAACGCGUGGAAACGUGCCUUUCACUACGGAAUAGCUUUUGGAAACGAAAGGUAAUACCGUAUACGCCCUCCGGGGGAAAGAUUUAUCGGUGAAAGAUCGGUCCGCGUUAGAUUAGCUAGUUGGUGAGGUAAGAGCUCACCAAGGCGACGAUCUAUAGCUGGUCUGAGAGGAUGAUCAGCCACACUGGGACUGAGACACGGCCCAGACUCCUACGGGAGGCAGCAGUGGGGAAUAUUGCACAAUGGGCGCAAGCCUGAUGCAGCCAUGCCGCGUGAAUGAUGAAGGCCUUAGGGUUGUAAAAUUCUUUCGCUAGGGAUGAUAAUGACAGUUCCUAGUAAAGAAGCCCCGGCUAACUUCGUGCCAGCAGCCGCGGUAAUACGAAGGGGGCUAGCGUUGUUCGGAAUUACUGGGCGUAAAGCGCACGUAGGCGGACUUUUAAGUCAGAUGUGAAAUCCCAAGGCUCAACCUUGGAACUGCAUUUGAAACUGGGAGUCUAGAGAUCAGGAGAGGUUAGUGGAAUACCGAGUGUAGAGGUGAAAUUCGUAGAUAUUCGGUGGAACACCAGUGGCGAAGGCGACUAACUGGACUGAUACUGACGCUGAGGUGCGAAAGUGUGGGGAGCAAACAGGAUUAGAUACCCUGGUAGUCCACACCGUAAACGAUGAGAGCUAGUUGUCUGCAGGCAUGCCUGUAGGUGACGCAGCUAACGCAUUAAGCUCUCCGCCUGGGGAGUACGGCCUCAAGGUUAAAACUCAAAGAAAUUGACGGGGGCCCGCACAAGCGGUGGAGCAUGUGGUUUAAUUCGAAGCAACGCGCAGAACCUUACCUACGCUUGACAUGCCUGGACGACUCCGAGAGAUCGGUUUCUCCCUUCGGGGCCAGUGCACAGGUGCUGCAUGGCUGUCGUCAGCUCGUGUCGUGAGAUGUUGGGUUAAGUCCCGCAACGAGCGCAACCCUCAUCCUUAGUUGCCAUCACGUUUGGGUGGGCACUCUAGGGAAACUGCCGGUGCUAAGCCGGAGGAAGGCGGGGAUGACGUCAAGUCCUCAUGGCCCUUACGCGUAGGGCUACACACGUGCUACAAUGGCAGUGACCAUGGGAUAAUCCCCAGAAGCUGUCUCAGUUCGGAUUGUCGGCUGCAACUCGCGGGCAUGAAGUUGGAAUCGCUAGUAAUCGUGGAUCAGCAUGCCACGGUGAAUACGUUCCCGGGCCUUGUACACACCGCCCGUCACACCAUGGGAGUUGGAUCUACCCGAAGAUUGUGAGCUAACUUCGGAGGCAGCAAGCCACGGUAGGUUCAGCGACUGGGGUGAAGUCGUAACAAGGUA